AGGGGUAACAUGACGCUUCGGUGUUGAUGACGACCGGCGCACGGGUGCGUAACGCGUAUGCAAUCUACCUACAGCAGAGGGAUAGCCCGUGGAAACAUGGAUUAAUACCGCAUACGCCCUACGGGGAAAGCAGGGGAUCUUCGGACCUUGUGCUAUUGGAUGAGCCUGCGUUGGAUUAGCUAGUUGGUAGGGUAAAGGCCUACCAAGGCGACGAUCCAUAGCUGGUCUGAGAGGAUGAUCAGCCACACUGGAACUGGAACACGGACCAGACUCCUACGGGAGGCAGCAGUGAGGAAUAUUGGGCAAUGGGCGAAAGCCUGACCCAGCCAUGCCGCGUGGGUGAAGAAGGCCCUAGGGUUGUAAACCCCUUUCAGCGGGGAAGAUAAUGACGGUACCCGCAGAAGAAGCCCCGGCUAACUCCGUGCCAGCAGCCGCGGUAAUACGGAGGGGGCUAGCGUUGUUCGGAAUUACUGGGCGUAAAGCGCGCGUAGGCGGACUUUCAAGUCAGGGGUGAAAUCCCGAGGCUCAACCUCGGAACUGCCUUUGAUACUGUAAGUCUUGAGUCCGAGAGAGGUGAGUGGAAUUCCUAGUGUAGAGGUGAAAUUCGUAGAUAUUAGGAAGAACACCAGUGGCGAAGGCGGCUCACUGGCUCGGUACUGACGCUCAUGCACGAAAGCGUGGGGAGCAAACAGGAUUAGAUACCCUGGUAGUCCACGCCCUAAACGAUGUCAACUAGUUGUCGGGAAUUAACUUUCUUGGUAACGCAGCUAACGCGUGAAGUUGACCGCCUGGGGAGUACGG
This 801-nucleotide ribosomal RNA is filed under the name uncultured bacterium. RNAcentral describes it as "bacterial SSU rRNA". It matches the Rfam family "Bacterial small subunit ribosomal RNA", at positions 65 to 885 of the family's 1533-position model. The record is from RNAcentral.